CUCCAGAGAAGACACAUGUACACGCCUUACUUCCUGUCCCAGCCCUAGCACCUGAGAAGGUGGACAUACUGAGGCUACCUGGGGUGGGAGUGGAAAGUCUGUUCCAGAAGGAGCUACCUGAGGGGU
Small nucleolar RNA from Acomys russatus (golden spiny mouse), 126 nucleotides. RefSeq annotates it as small nucleolar RNA SNORD22. The transcript has a single exon. The record is from RefSeq and is a predicted model, not a curated record. Lineage: Eukaryota; Metazoa; Chordata; Mammalia; Rodentia; Muridae.